CCUACGGGAGGCAGCAGUGAGGAAUAUUGGACAAUGGGCGCAAGCCUGAUCCAGCCAUGCCGCGUGCAGGAUGAAGCAUCUAUGGUGUGUAAACUGCUUUUGUACGAGAAGAAACACUCCGACGUGUCGGAGCUUGACGGUAUCGUAAGAAUAAGGAUCGGCUAACUCCGUGCCAGCAGCCGCGGUAAUACGGAGGAUCCAAGCGUUAUCCGGAAUCAUUGGGUUUAAAGGGUCCGUAGGCGGGCUUAUAAGUCAGUGGUGAAAUCUCCCGGCUCAACCGGGAAAUGGCCAUUGAUACUGUAGGUCUUGAAUUAUUAGGAAGUAACUAGAAUAUGUAGUGUAGCGGUGAAAUGCUUAGAGAUUACAUGGAAUACCAAUUGCGAAGGCAGGUUACUACUAAUUGAUUGACGCUGAUGGACGAAAGCGUGGGUAGCGAACAGGAUUAGAUACCCUGGUAGUCCACGCCGUAAACGAUGGAUACUAGCUGUUGGGGGUCAACUUCAGUGGCUAAGCGAAAGUGAUAAGUAUCCACCUGGGAGUACGUUCGCGAAGAAUGAAACUUAAAGGAAGUUGACGG
Molecule: ribosomal RNA, 577 nt
Filed under: uncultured bacterium
Lineage: Bacteria
Description: bacterial SSU rRNA
Rfam family: Bacterial small subunit ribosomal RNA
Source: RNAcentral